RNAcentral lists this ribosomal RNA (253 nucleotides) under uncultured bacterium. RNAcentral describes it as "partial 16S ribosomal RNA". It matches the Rfam family "Bacterial small subunit ribosomal RNA", at positions 524 to 776 of the family's 1533-position model. The record is from RNAcentral.
UACGAAGGGGGCUAGCGUUGUUCGGAAUCACUGGGCGUAAAGCGCGCGUAGGCGGAUUGUUAAGUCGGGGGUGAAAUCCUGAGGCUCAACCUCCGAACUGCCUUCGAUACUGGCGAUCUUGAGUCCGGGAGAGGUGAGUGGAAUUCCUAGUGUAGAGGUGAAAUUCGUAGAUAUUAGGAAGAACACCAGUGGCGAAGGCGGCUCACUGGCCCGGUACUGACGCUGAGGCGCGAAAGCGUGGGGAGCAAACAGG